GUAGGUGGCAAGCGUUGUCCGGAAUUAUUGGGCGUAAAGCGCGCGCAGGCGGGUCCUUUAAGUCUGACGUGAAAGCCCACGGGCUCAACCGUGGAGGGUCAUUGGAAACUGGGGGACUUGAGUACAGAAGAGGAAAGCGGAAUUCCAAGUGUAGCGGUGAAAUGCGUAGAGAUUUGGAGGAACACCAGUGGCGAAGGCGGCUUUCUGGUCUGUAACUGACGCUGAGGCGCGAAAGCGUGGGGAGCAAACAGGAUUAGAUACCCUGGUAGUCCACGCCGUAAACGAUGAGUGCUAAGUGUUAGGGGGUUUCCGCCCCUUAGUGCUGCAGCUAACGCAUUAAGCACUCCGCCUGGGGAGUACGGCCGCAAAGGCUGA
Molecule: ribosomal RNA, 375 nt
Filed under: uncultured organism
Description: partial 16S ribosomal RNA
Rfam family: Bacterial small subunit ribosomal RNA
Source: RNAcentral